UCCGGAUUUCUGGGCGUAAAGCGUGCGCAGGCGGAAAGGUAAGUAGGAAGUGAAAGGUUGGAGCUCAACUCCAACACUGCUCCCUAUACUGCCUUUCUUGAGUAGCGGAGAGGAAAGCGGAACGACACGUGUAGCGGUGAAAUGCGUUGAUAUGUGUCGGAACACCAAUGGCGAAAGCAGCUUUCUGGACGCAAACUGACGCUCAUGCACGAAAGCCAAGGUAGCAAACAGGAUUAGAUACCCUGGUAGUCUUGGCCAUAAACGAUGUUCACUAGGUGUCGGGGUUCUCCUCGGUGCCGCAGCUAACGCAUUAAGUGAACCGCCUGGGGACUACGGCCGCAAGGUUGAAACUCAAAGGAAUUGGCGGGGGCCCGCACAAGCGGUAAUCGAA
This 391-nucleotide ribosomal RNA is filed under the name uncultured bacterium. RNAcentral's name for it is "bacterial SSU rRNA". It matches the Rfam family "Bacterial small subunit ribosomal RNA", at positions 544 to 940 of the family's 1533-position model. The record is from RNAcentral.